UGCAAGUCGCGGGAGAAGCGGCCCUUCGGGGCCUGCGGAGACCGGCGGAUGGGUGAGUAACGCGUAGGUAAUCUGCCUGUGGUACGGGGAUAACCCACCGAAAGGUGAGCUAAUACCCGAUGAUGCAGCGGCCCCGCAUGGGGACAGUUGUUAAAGGCCUCGGCCGACCACAGAUGAACCUGCGUGCCAUUAGCUAGUUGGUAGGGUCAAAGCCUACCAAGGCCAUGAUGGCUAGGGGGUCUGAGAGGAUGAUCCCCCACACUGGGACUGAGACACGGCCCAGACUCCUACGGGAGGCAGCAGUGAGGAAUCUUGCGCAAUGGAGGAAACUCUGACGCAGCCACGCCGCGUGCUGGAAGACGGCCCUAUGGGUUGUAAACAGCUUUUACUGGGGAAGAACCUGGACCUUUCGAGGACCACUGACGGUACCUAGUGAAUAAGCACCGGCUAACUCCGUGCCAGCAGCCGCGGUAAUACGGAGGGUGCAAGCGUUGUCCGGAAUCAUUGGGUGUAAAGGGUGUGCAGGCGGAAGUCUAAGUCGGAGGUGAAAUCUUGCCGCUUAACGGUAAAAGGGCCUUCGAAACUGGAUUUCUUGAGUUC
RNAcentral lists this ribosomal RNA (600 nucleotides) under uncultured bacterium. Its description in RNAcentral is "bacterial SSU rRNA". It matches the Rfam family "Bacterial small subunit ribosomal RNA", at positions 56 to 649 of the family's 1533-position model. The record is from RNAcentral.